RNAcentral lists this ribosomal RNA (801 nucleotides) under uncultured bacterium. Its description in RNAcentral is "bacterial SSU rRNA". It matches the Rfam family "Bacterial small subunit ribosomal RNA", at positions 8 to 811 of the family's 1533-position model. The record is from RNAcentral.
AGAGUUUGAUCCUGGCUCAGGAUGAACGCUGGCGGCGUGCCUAACACAUGCAAGUCGAACGAAGCACCUUACUUGAUUCUUCGGAUGAAGGUCUGGUGACUGAGUGGCGGACGGGUGAGUAACGCGUGGGUAACCUGCCCUGUACAGGGGGAUAACAGCUGGAAACGGCUGCUAAUACCGCAUAAGCGCACGAGGAGACAUCUCCUUGUGUGAAAAACUCCGGUGGUACAGGAUGGGCCCGCGUCUGAUUAGCUGGUUGGCAGGGUAACGGCCUACCAAGGCAACGAUCAGUAGCCGGUCUGAGAGGAUGAACGGCCACAUUGGAACUGAGACACGGUCCAAACUCCUACGGGAGGCAGCAGUGGGGAAUAUUGCACAAUGGGGGAAACCCUGAUGCAGCAACGCCGCGUGAGUGAAGAAGUAUUUCGGUAUGUAAAGCUCUAUCAGCAGGGAAGAUAAUGACGGUACCUGACUAAGAAGCUCCGGCUAAAUACGUGCCAGCAGCCGCGGUAAUACGUAUGGAGCAAGCGUUAUCCGGAUUUACUGGGUGUAAAGGGUGCGUAGGUGGCAGUGCAAGUCAGAUGUGAAAGGCCGGGGCUCAACCCCGGAGCUGCAUUUGAAACUGCUCGGCUAGAGUACAGGAGAGGCAGGCGGAAUUCCUAGUGUAGCGGUGAAAUGCGUAGAUAUUAGGAGGAACACCAGUGGCGAAGGCGGCCUGCUGGACUGUUACUGACACUGAGGCACGAAAGCGUGGGGAGCAAACAGGAUUAGAUACCCUGGUAGUCCACGCCGUAAACGAUG